RNAcentral lists this ribosomal RNA (253 nucleotides) under uncultured bacterium. Its description in RNAcentral is "partial 16S ribosomal RNA". It matches the Rfam family "Bacterial small subunit ribosomal RNA", at positions 524 to 776 of the family's 1533-position model. The record is from RNAcentral.
UACGAGAGGCCCAAACGUUAUUCGGAAUUACUGGGCUUAAAGAGUUCGUAGGCGGCGCGGAAAGUAGGGUGUGAAAGCCCUCGGCUUAACCGAGGAAUUGCGCUCUAAACUACCGUGCUUGAGGAACCUAGAGGUGAGCAGAACAGAUGGUGGAGCGGUAAAAUGCGUUGAUAUCAUCUGGAAUACCGGAGGCGAAGGCGGCUCACUGGGGGUUUUCUGACGCUGAGGAACGAAAGCCAGGGUAGCGAACGGG